RNAcentral lists this ribosomal RNA (253 nucleotides) under uncultured bacterium. RNAcentral's name for it is "partial 16S ribosomal RNA". It matches the Rfam family "Bacterial small subunit ribosomal RNA", at positions 524 to 776 of the family's 1533-position model. The record is from RNAcentral.
UACGUAGGGUGCAAGCGUUGUCCGGAAUUAUUGGGCGUAAAGGGCUCGUAGGCGGUCCGUCACGUCGGGAGUGAAAACUUGGGGCUUAACCCCAAGCCUGCUUCCGAUACGGGCGGACUAGAGUCCGGAAGAGGCGAGUGGAAUUCCCGGUGUAGCGGUGAAAUGCGCAGAUAUCGGGAGGAACACCAAUGGCGAAGGCAGUUCGCUGGGACGGUACUGACGCUGAGGCGCGAAAGCGUGGGGAGCAAACAGG